GCGCUUCCGGGAGCUCGUCCUCCCCCCUCCCCCGGCAGAGCGAGCGCAGGGAAGCGGCCGGGCGCGGCGCGGCUCGGGCGCAGGCGGAGGCGGAGGCGGAGGCGGAGCCGGAGCCGGCGGGGCGGAGGGCUGAGCCCACCCGGCCGGGGAAAGCUACAGGACCCAGGAUCCUUGCAGUUAUGGCUGGCUGGCUGCUCUUUUACUCUGGGGCCCCAGCAUUGGUUAUGCUGUAAUUUCAUGGGACUGAAAACAAAAAAAGGAGAGCCUUUUGUUCGU
RNAcentral lists this long non-coding RNA (276 nucleotides) under Crocodylus porosus (Australian saltwater crocodile). Its description in RNAcentral is "lncRNA (ENSCPRG00005005354.1)". The record is from RNAcentral. Lineage: Eukaryota; Metazoa; Chordata; Crocodylia; Crocodylidae.